RNAcentral lists this ribosomal RNA (194 nucleotides) under uncultured bacterium. RNAcentral's name for it is "partial 16S ribosomal RNA". It matches the Rfam family "Bacterial small subunit ribosomal RNA", at positions 338 to 524 of the family's 1533-position model. The record is from RNAcentral.
CCUACGGGAGGCAGCAGUGGGGAAUAUUGCACAAUGGGCGCAAGCCUGAUGCAGCCAUGCCGCGUGUGUGAAGAAGGCCUUCGGGUUGUAAAGCACUUUCAGUUGUGAGGAAGGUGGUGUAGUUAAUAGCUGCAUUAUUUGACGUUAGCGACAGAAGAAGCACCGGCUAACUCCGUGCCAGCAGCCGCGGUAAU